CCCUUAGAUGUUCUGGGCCGCACGCGUGCUACACUGAGUGGAUCAGCGGGUCAGGUUGCGCGAAAGCGUUUCCUAAUCUUUAAAUCCGCUCGUGAUGGGGAUUGACGGUUGCAAUUUUCUGUCAUGAACGAGGAAUACCUUGUAAGCGCGGGUCAUCAUCCCGCGCUGAAUACGUCCCUGCCGUUUGUACACACCGCCCGUCGUUUCUUCCGACUGAUACGAAUUGUGAGUUGCAAGGACCUUCAGGGGGAAUUGCCGCGAAUGCUUCGUAUUGGAGGAAGAAAAAGUCGUAACA
Molecule: ribosomal RNA, 295 nt
Filed under: uncultured eukaryote
Lineage: Eukaryota
Description: partial 18S ribosomal RNA
Rfam family: Eukaryotic small subunit ribosomal RNA
Source: RNAcentral